RNAcentral lists this microRNA precursor (71 nucleotides) under Paramuricea clavata. The record is from RNAcentral. Lineage: Eukaryota; Metazoa; Cnidaria; Anthozoa; Malacalcyonacea; Plexauridae.
UUUGUAUUACGAGCGGAAAUUGUUACCAUUUUCGGCUCAAAAAUGGUAACAAUUUCCACACGUAAUACAAA